UGUUUAUGUCGCGAUUAACUGUUACGAUCAUUUUCAAGGGCGCAAGUAAGAGUUGCUGGAACCACUUCUCUUCCUUUUUUUAAAUGUUACCAGGGCGACACGAUUUAUUCGCAUGUUGUUUUGUUUAAGGACCGUCUGCUUCAGUUUUAUUUGUGUGCAUUUUUGCUGGCACGAAAGAGACCACGUGGUCUUAAAGAAAUACAAAAUUAGUGAAUGAUUUGGAUGAUUUAGAUCUUUUUCUGGGUUUUGUGGACUUGACAACAAUAAACACUCAUCCCUGAGCAUUUCUGUUGGGCCGUCCUCCAGCGUGUGCAGCCAAUUGAAGAUCAUCAUAUUCCUCAUGUAUUUCGACAGUGGCCGGCCUUGAUCACGCUCGACGUCAUUGAGAGUGAGGGCGCUCUUGAUCCAUGUGGCAUCCAGCGGAGAUGAAUUACCGCCAGAUCCGGCUUUGGCACUCAACGACUCCUCACCGCUUCCGAAAGGCUGAGACUGACACUGUGACUGCUCCGACUGCAUCGUCAGAUCCACCUGGCCACCGGCCGCCUCGGCAACGGCGGCAAUCUGAUCGAGAUUAAAUUGGCUCUGCGAGAGACGCUCCAGCGCCUUGUAAGUUGUCAGGAGCCGGCGUCGUAUAUAACACUGCCUCACGCGCUUGUUCAAAUUGAGGAUGAGAUCAGCCGGCGUGAAUGUGACCCCUCCACCGCCGCCUCCGCCGCCGCAAAAAGCCGCCGCAUCUGUUGACAUGAUCUAUUAGGCUAUUAGAGCAAGUAGACAUAGUAGGCCUAUCAACCUUACCGGCUUUGCUGGAAUCGACAUGGACAGAAGUGGGCCGCCCUUGGGGUGAGGGCAGCUGCGAUGAGAUCUGGAUAGCCGCUCCAUCUCCCACGGCCACCCACGUCGACAGUGAGCGGGAGCCCAUUCCGAAAACCGGGUGCAUCCGCUCGUAUUGUUGUUGGAUUCCGCCCAUGGCUACUUCCGACACGCACGCCCUCAAAGCUCCACCUAGUUAUUGGAUUGGAUAUGGCCAACAUUGUAGAGCUACAACUUUUAUUUUUUCACGUAAGUUUUUUCCCCCUUUCAAUCAUUUCGAGGCGAAAGUUUGAACUCAUCUCGCAAAAUUAGACAAGGGUAAAACAAAAAUUCACGUCGGCCAAUUUCGAACGGAGAUGAAAAGAAACUUUUUAGCGAUGGAGUGGCCAAUAAGAUUUAUACACAUCACGUAAUAGUGCGUGUAUUUUGCAUCUAGAAAUUGAUUGAAGUAAAAAUGUAAAAGAAAAGAAAAAAGAGUUAUAUGCGCGAUCCAUGUCCGAGCUUAUAUUGAAAUUUCUCUCCGUACCCAGCCAGCCGCACUAAAUCAAUAUUGCGCCGGCUACAACUGUCUUAUUCACAAUGCCGGCUGCCUCAAAUGAAAGUGGGCGAAUAAAGGAGAGAGAGAGAGAGAAGGAGGUCGGAAGUAGGUGGGGGGAGACUAUUGGGUGCAUCGCCAUGCAAAGCCAAAAGAGCUACUGUAUAUAGAGACAAAAAACUUUUGCCGCAUUUUGCAUAUGAAAAUGCCCCAACUUCUUUUCUUCUUCUUCUUCUUUUCAAGUCGCUUUUCAUCUUUCUGUUUCUUCCCACUUUUUUCUACACUGGAGAUUUCCGUUUCCUCAAAAGCGGACCUACAAAAACGGAUUUAUUUUCCCAUUGCACCGCCAUACCGACCAUUUUUCUUUCACUAAACAGACGGCCAUUGAACAUCGGGAUAAUCUUAUUGACCGAAAAGCCUCAGCGCGGAGCCGCUUACAGAUAUGUGCGGACAGCCCACAAGGCUAUGUCCGUCCUUAUUUGUCCGAAUGUUUGCCAGUAUUUCUAAUCGCGUCGGAGGAAACGACGACCCUACUGACAGGAUCCGGGCGCCAACAUGUCAAGUGCGCACUGACGUCGUCGUCGUCGUCGGGUGGGUAGGGGGGGUUUCUGAUGACAAAAGGAAGUUUUCGGGAUGACACUUUGCCCUCUAUAUAAUAAGGAGGCGGAAGCCCAAAUAGCCCGCCAACCCCGCUCCCACCCAAAAGAAAAUAACUUGCUAUUAUUCUGCCUAGGUGAUGAGAGACAGCCGAGCGGGACGCAACUGGAAUGACAAUUAUUCGACCGUUUCGAUCGAUAAAGCUCCUCCUUGGCUCCUCUGCUGCAGUCUCUCUCAGCUCCUAAACAACGUGUAUAUACAUACUACAUAGAACCAGCCAGGGUUUGUGUUUGUGUGUGCUGCAGCUCACCAGCAGGGCUCCUAUAGUACUUGCUCCUACAUGGCAACACAAUGUCGACCGGCGUUUUCCUUGUACCCAGGAGCUUAGACAUAUAAAAGACGCCAACAUUUUUCCCUUUUAAUUUAGAAAGACUUUUUUCUUUUCCCCCGUGUGUGUGUAGAAAAAGAACGAAGGAUAAUGUGUACCAUUGUUGUGAAGAGGCGAUCCGGACUCAUCCAGCGAGACGAUAUCGCCGGUGCUGAAACUCUUUUGCAGUCCCAGGGCUUUGGAGAGAGUCGAGAAGUUCUUGAUGACGCUGAGAUCAGUUUCCUCUUCCCACCAGCCGCCGUCGACGGAUCGACCGCCAACGCCCACGGAAGAAGCGCCGGGAACUCUGAGGAAGCGCCCGCCGCCGCUUCCACCCGGAAUCGGACUCGGCCCUCGGUUCGGCGUCAGAUACGCCGACAGCUGCUGAUUCUCUGGCACGGCUUUCAGGAAACUGAGAUGGGCCGGCAGUUUGUUACUGUUCCAGCCGCACUCGGACAGGUAGCUGCUGGACACGGACAUUUCGGUGGCCACCGAUUCACGGCUCGGCGAGCGCGGCGGCAUUUUCAAAUUGGUCGGCAGGCUCACUUGAAUCCGUGGGCUGUUCAUCCCGUUAUUGGCCGACCCAGCACUAUUGACGCCCAUCAAAUUUAAUCCGUCUGAAGCCAUCGGCUUCUCUUCUUGCUCCUCCUCCUGCCUCGUGCUGUACGAUUCUCCAGGAAUCGGUUGCUCUUCACCACUUGGUGCUGCAAGAUACAGUACACACACUUGACUAUACACACAUAUAGGCUUUAGCUUGAGUCUCAUGUUUCCCGAAUAUAGUAUAUCGCCCACUGCAUAAUAGAUCUUAUUUAUCGACUCGACCGUUUGCCAUCCAGCACUCCCCCCGGAAGGCCUAGACUCUACACUGACGAUUGUGAUUAACCUCACGUAUAUACACACACAGACACACAGGAGGUAUCAAAGGGGGGGGGGGGGACGAUUGGACUCGGCGGGGCGGAAAGAACAGAAAAUAAAGGGCGCACGACCUAUUCUUUUUGCCAUCCAGCGUGACCCCCUCUCGUGCCACAUCUAACAAGUUCCGAGUUUUUCAUUCGCCCAUUCCGUUUUUUCUCAAUCGAUAGAUAAAACGAAAUCAUCACAAAGUGGGAGAGAGCUCGGGGAGGUCGAUAUGCUUGUCUUAACUUGUGUGUGUGUAUAUUGUACAACUACUACCUUGAUUUU
Molecule: long non-coding RNA, 3491 nt
Filed under: Daphnia pulex (common water flea)
Lineage: Eukaryota; Metazoa; Arthropoda; Branchiopoda; Diplostraca; Daphniidae
Description: uncharacterized LOC124205057
Source: RNAcentral